GACGAACGCUGGCGGCGUGCUUAACACAUGCAAGUCGAGCGAGGCCCAUCCUUCGGGGUGGUGCCCUAGCGGCGAACGGGUGAGUAACACGUGGGCAACCUGCCCUCAGCUCUGGGAUAACUCCAAGAAAUUGGUGCUAAUACCGGAUGUGACCGCUGACCGCAUGGUCUGGUGGUGGAAAGAUUUAUCGGCUGAGGAUGGGCCCGCGGCCUAUCAGCUUGUUGGG
RNAcentral lists this ribosomal RNA (226 nucleotides) under uncultured bacterium. Its description in RNAcentral is "partial 16S ribosomal RNA". It matches the Rfam family "Bacterial small subunit ribosomal RNA", at positions 28 to 253 of the family's 1533-position model. The record is from RNAcentral.